UGCCAGCCGCCGCGGUAAUACGGGGGGUGCAAACGUUGCUCGGAAUUAUUGGGCGUAAAGCGCACGUAGGCGGUUACGUAAGUCGGGUGUGAAAGCCCUCGGCUCAACCAAGGAAGUGCAUUCGAAACUGCGUAACUUGAGUACGGGAGAGGAAAGUGGAAUUCCGAGUGUAGGGGUGAAAUCCGUAGAUAUUCGGAGGAACACCAGUGGCGAAGGCGGCUUUCUGGACCGAUACUGACGCUGAGACGCGAGAGCGUGGGGAGCAAACAGGAUUAGAUA
Molecule: ribosomal RNA, 279 nt
Filed under: uncultured bacterium
Lineage: Bacteria
Description: partial 16S ribosomal RNA
Rfam family: Bacterial small subunit ribosomal RNA
Source: RNAcentral